AGCGAGUAAGGGAAUCUUCCACAAUGGACGAAAGUCUGAUGGAGCAACGCCGCGUGAGUGAAGAAGGGUUUCGGCUCGUAAAACUCUGUUGUUAAAGAAGAACAUAUCUGAGAGUAACUGUUCAGGUAUUGACGGUAUUUAACCAGAAAGCCACGGCUAACUACGUGCCAC
Molecule: ribosomal RNA, 171 nt
Filed under: uncultured bacterium
Lineage: Bacteria
Description: partial 16S rRNA
Rfam family: Bacterial small subunit ribosomal RNA
Source: RNAcentral